CCAAAGGCUCUUUGAAGAGCCACUAAGUGCACAAUGAAAAGACCU
This is a non-coding RNA of Manacus vitellinus (golden-collared manakin), 45 nucleotides long. NCBI's taxonomy places the organism in Eukaryota, Metazoa, Chordata, Aves, Passeriformes, Pipridae. The record is from Rfam.